GGGGAAUUAGCUCAGCUGGGAGAGCGCUUGAAUGGCAUUCAAGAGGUCAGGGGUUCGAUCCCCCUAUUCUCCACCA
RNAcentral lists this transfer RNA (76 nucleotides) under Tepidanaerobacter acetatoxydans Re1. Its description in RNAcentral is "tRNA-Ala (GGC) (tRNA-Ala-GGC-1-1)". It matches the Rfam family "tRNA". Rfam says of the family: Transfer RNA (tRNA) molecules are approximately 80 nucleotides in length. Their secondary structure includes four short double-helical elements and three loops (D, anti-codon, and T loops). Further hydrogen bonds mediate the characteristic L-shaped molecular structure. tRNAs have two regions of fundamental functional importance: the anti-codon, which is responsible for specific mRNA codon recognition, and the 3' end, to which the tRNAs corresponding amino acid is attached (by aminoacyl-tRNA synthetases). tRNAs cope with the degeneracy of the genetic code in two manners: having more than one tRNA (with a specific anti-codon) for a particular amino acid; and 'wobble' base-pairing, i.e. permitting non-standard base-pairing at the 3rd anti-codon position. RNAcentral also lists the same sequence under 2 other names. The record is from RNAcentral. Lineage: Bacteria; Bacillati; Bacillota; Clostridia; Thermosediminibacterales; Tepidanaerobacteraceae.